Small nuclear RNA from Nyctereutes procyonoides (raccoon dog), 107 nucleotides. The record is from RefSeq and is a predicted model, not a curated record. Lineage: Eukaryota; Metazoa; Chordata; Mammalia; Carnivora; Canidae.
GUACUCACUUCGGCAGCACAUAUACUAAAAUUGGAGCGAUACGGAGAAGAUUAGCAUGGCCCCUGUGCAAGGAUGACAUGCAAAUCCAAGUCUUAGCAUUAGACACU